GCAUCUAUUAGCUUUUCGUUGAUGACGUGAUCUAUGGCUGUAAGACAGUCUCGGACGUCCUGCUUAGGAUAGUUAAGAGACUUGGAAGAAAGAAAAAAAGUCAUAAAGAGCAAAUGCCCUGAAUUUAACUGGAAUAACGGUGAGAUGAUGACAUGCAUAACUGAAGAGGAGCGGAGAAGUUCCAAGGAACAUACCGAUAAUUUACAAUUAGCAGAUUGAAUCCAAGUGAAGCAAGAAAGGCUGAUGAUUUCACGUAGCUUGACACAGACACUGAGUGUGGGCCACCAUGAAGGACUACAACAGUUGGACUGUGCGAACUGUCCUUGCAGGACACAAAAAUGGCCUCAAAUGGAAGUUUGCCACCUAUGGAACAGGAAAGUGCUACCUGGAUAAAAAUGUCACAGCCUAGCAUACAAAACCUCGAGUUUUCAGGAUUAUACCAUCAGAGAGGUCAUCAGAGGGGUUAGCGACAGGAAUUUGAAGUAUAGUGACACUGUGAUGCGACAACAAGGACUUAACCUGCAAUGGAAGGCAAUGUGAGAAAGAAUUUAUGGAGACUAUUGCUCUUUUAAAAGCCCUCAAGGCAAAAUUAUAUGCUACUUUAGCUUCCACAAAAAACUAUAUGUGCUACUUUAACUUCACAUCAACUGAAAACUAACCCUAUCUCUGGCUGUCCUCAACGGACUAUCAACUUCAUCCCAAGUCCAUCUGCGUGUUUGACCCUCUGGUGUCACUUGGCGUCCAUACCUGAUAUGAGGAGGGUCGAUGGGACUACUUGACACUAUAUGGCAAGCAAAUGAGAAGCACAAUGUUUCAAUAUUAGAAUCAAUUAGCUGCAUGAGUUUAAUACGAGUUUACAACUACAAUUACCAGCAAGAACAUUGUCACCGUCUAUCGCAAGAGCACUCCAUGAGUAAUGCGAGUCUUCUGGAGUAAUUCUUGUUACUUUUCCACUGCAGAAUGGGACAAAUUAGAGUAUCGAGGUGAUCUUUCAAGUUCUGGAACAAGAAUAUGCCAGCAACCUUUGAUUUACCUUAAAACAUUUAUUGAUAAUAUCACUUCGGUACUCCUCCAAGCAGAUGUUAGUAUCAUCGUGCAUCCAUCAGAAAGCCAAGGAUUGGAUAGAAUGGAUGAGCAGUAAAGACCCAGGAAACAACCAUCUUCAGGGCACAUUACAAUAGGCACCUGGAACAGUUCAAAAGCUGAAUAGGCUGAAGAACACGGUGAAAAACAAAGCAAGAUAAACAGAUGGGCAUACCACUUCAGUAACAUCAAGUUGUUUAUCCAUUUUCCAAUCAGAAAGCCAGUUGAUCUUAUGCAGAGAAUCCGUUGCAUUAUGUGCUCCACUAUUUACAGCCUGUUUUGCAGAAAGGAAGAGUAGGAUUUUUCCAUCCUGGCUGCUCACAGUGAUUUGUACUUUCAGAGAAAGUUUAGGGGCUCCAAUAUCGAAAUGUGCAUGAAUACUAUACUAACAUACCUGAAACGUGGAAAGAAAGCACUACUGAUGCUUGCUGUUAAGUUGUGUGCUGAUGCAGCGGAGUCUGAUUUACCAUCGCUGGUACAGGAACAUAACACAUUACAAGCAACACUACCUGGUAAUGCCACUCAAAAAAAAACACUACUUGGUAAUGAUGCCAACUACGGAACUAGCAAGGGUAGAGUCAAAUAUUCUAUUUCUAUUUCAUCAGUCACAUAAGUGACAAUGUAUUAGAGUAGUCUGUAUCUGUACAAAUUGUAAACUACAGAUUUGUUAUCCAAAGGUGGGUACUUACCAAACUGGUUUA
Molecule: long non-coding RNA, 1784 nt
Organism: Panicum virgatum (switchgrass)
Lineage: Eukaryota; Viridiplantae; Streptophyta; Magnoliopsida; Poales; Poaceae
Exons: 2
Source: RefSeq, a predicted model, not a curated record